AUGCCAUCCUCCAGUAUACCGGUCCCAGAUAGGGAUCUGGGAAAUUCUCCGUCUUCGCGAAAAGGUAACGUAGAGGAUUUACGAAGGCACAACAACAAACUAAAGUCAGAUUUGGAAGCGGAGCGCGCCAAGGUUCGUCAGGUUCUGCGCGAUAAGUCUGCAGAGUUGAAAAGGAUCCAGGACGGGUUUGAAAAGGAAAAGCAAAGAGCGGUCGAACAAGCGACGAAACGAUUGAUUACUGAACAUGCGGCAGAGCUAAAGAAAGCUCGAGAUAACAGUGCUAAAGAGAAAGAUAACGAACUUCGACAAGUGCUUAAGUUCAAGGAGGAAGAAGUUAAGACUAUGAGGCAACAAAUUACUGAUGAAAAAGAGAAAAACAGACAUGCUGAGGAAGAGUUAAGAAGGGUUUUAGUCAAUAGGAGUAAGGAAGGAGAAGAUCAUUCUGAAGUGGAGCGAAAAUUACGCAGCGAGAUCGCUACACUCAAAGAACAGAAGCAAAAGGCUGAGGAACUAUAUCGAGCCAAAUCUUCAGCGGACAACGAAAAAGCUGAACUGAUACGUCGCUUGAAAGCCGAUCACGAACUCGAGCUUCAAAAAUUUGUGAAAGACUCGAAACGUGAAUCAAUUCAUAGUUUACAACAGAGGAGGUUGACCGAGAAGGCAUUAGAAGAAAAGGAGCAUGAACUGGCUUACAAGGAUCAUUUAGCAAGGAAACUCGAAGCCGAGAAGGACGACCUUCAAAGAAGAUUGUCUGGAGAUGUCGAGAUGUUGCGGCGAUCAACUCUUCGGACGGGCGCUUCGUUUGAUUUAGGUGCCAGCGAUCGCCUGGAUGAAAGCCCCCUUGUGCGAAAAGAUAAAGAACGAGAAUUGAAAAAGAAAAAUGCUGAAUUACAAUCAAAGGUGGAAAGCCUAGAGAAAAAGUGUGCUGUACUGGAGAAAGAGUCAUCUAAGAGUGGAAACCUGAAAGCAACUUUUGUGGCAGAAGAAAAAAUAAAGAAACUCAAGAAGAGGAAUUCUGAGCUUGUGUCCAUUGCACGACAGUUGGAGGAAAAGGCAAAGAAACUUCAGGAAGAGAAAGUUCAGGCUCAAAAAUUGGUGGAGGAGAACAGUUCUAACAGUGCUGGGGUGGAGCAUGUGAAAAAGAUGUAUGCAAGACAGAGAGCCAAGGAUCUUGCUGAACAUGCUAAAGCAUUGUUGUCUAAGGAAAAAGAACUGGAUGAACUGAGAAAAGAGAUGUCAACACAAAAGAAUGGUCCAGAUUUCCCGCAAGAAAAAGUUGAAGAGCUUCAAUCCAUAAUUCGUCAGUCAGCCAAGGAGAGGUUGUGGCUUGAGAGACAAAUUUCCAAUGGCGAUUCUUCUCGUGAACCUAGUCCUCUGCUACUGUCAGGUGAUCUUGCUUCCGAAAUCAAGAAGAAGACUGAAAUACUCAACAGGUUGGAAGAUGAGAACAAUAAUUUAAAAACUUCAGUGGUUCAACUGCAAAAGGCUGAGGCUGAAAGCUUGAAAUUGGCAGAGGAGCUGAAGGAGAAAGAGAAGGAAAACCAUAAGCUUGUGAGUGACUUAGAGGAAAAACAGACAAAGUGUUCCAAACUGGAACAUGAAAGAGAACGAUUUGCUGCCAAAUGCACCAUGCUUCAGAAGAAGAAUGCAGAAAUGACCAAAAAGAUGGAAGAAUUAGAAGAGAUGGAAGAGGAACUCAGUAAUGUAAAGGAAAAACUUGAGGUUUCAGAUGUGAAGUGUGGCCUGCUUACAGAUGAGUGCAACAGAUUAAAACACCAGCUGGAAGGGCUUCUUCAUGUUAAGGAGGAUCUUAAGACUAUGGAGCAACAAAAGAUGACGAUAGAGAAGGAACAUCUUAGCAGUCUUGAAAAACUUAAGCAGAGAGAAGAAGAAAUUAGGCAACUUCACAAGAUCCAGGAGGAAGCCAACCGAGCUCAUGAGAUGGCUGUGACGUCACUAGAAGAUACUGUGCGUAGUUUGGAACAGAAGUGUAUUGAGGCUGAAAAGAAUAACAUUAACCUCAAAAAAGAGAUGGAUGAACUGAAACAGAUGGAAAGGGACAGUAACAGAAGAAAAGAAGAAGUUUGUCACAGAUCAACUCAGACUACACUUGAAACAUUCAACAAAGAAAUUCCAGCUGUAGUAGAAGUUAAAGGCAUUGCAGUCAAAGGUCAGCCUUCACUUAAAGAAAGUCCACAACCACCUCGCAAACUUUCUAGUGAUGCUGCAGAUGUACUGUCAUCUCAGAUCAUGCCAACCAAGUCUGCUACCUUCGAAGAAAAGGUUGAGUCUUUCCUUGUCAACUCCAGCAAGCCCCAACCUGUUGCAGGAGAAGACACCAAUACUCCAGCAUCAGAGGAUAUAUUAGAGUCACUGGCUUCAAGAAUUAAUCAAUUAGCAGCAUCUGAUAGUGAAGAUGAUCCACUCAGUGAAAAAGCAUAUGCAGAUCCAGGGGAUGAUGUAGAAACAGAACAGAAACCUGAAAGAUCUGAUUUGGAUUUUGAUGACUUGCACCGGCGCAUUGAUCAAGCAGAAGUAGAUGAAGAUACCAGCAGCUCCAUCAGCACAAUGGAAAGAGCCGGCAGUGAGGCUAGUCAAGAUAUGGCCAGCAUGGCUGAAGGAGACUUGGGUGACUUAGAGGAUAAUCAGCCAGACAGCUCUGCUCCUGAAGAUGAACAAGCUGAGCCCUCUACACUACAGCCUAUUGGUAAACUGAAUGUGCAUAAUGCCAUGCCAGCCAGCAGUAAAGACAUCUCAACAGGUACCAACAAUGGGUUCAGUGCAGAAGAGGAGGCACUGGACAUUAGAUAUCUUGAAGGCGAUAACAGUGAUGUGGAUCCAGCCAUUCAAGAGAAACUUGCUGUCUAUAUUGCAAGGUACAGUUAUGACCCUUAUCAACACUCACCAAAUGAGAAUCCUGAUAUGGAGCUGGCAUUCCAGGCUGGAGAUUAUUUGUAUGUCUUUGGCGAGAUGGAUGAGGAUGGAUACUUUUUGGGUGAAUUGAUGAAUGGCCAGAGAGGAUUUGUGCCUUCUAACUUUGUGGAGAAAGUCGCUGAUGAAAGUGAAAUGACUUUGAUGAUGAAUGGCACUGGAGAAGGAAUUGAUGAAAUACCAGACAGCAGUGAUGAAGAAGAAACAGAUGAAGAAGAAAGCUUCUCGGAAGAUGGACAAACCGAACUUGCAAUACCGGGAGAAAAUGGCGAGCGGCAGAUGAAACCAGUGCGCAUGCUUAAGUUCUCGGGUAAACUUCAUCGUGCGUUACGCUUGUCAGUGGAACAUAUCCCCGACGUUGGACUUCAGGACAUUGAGGAAGAAGACGAAGCGGAGAUAGAGGAGGAAAUAGAAGAGGAGCAUGAUUCAGGGAAUGAAUUUGAUGAACAGGAUGGUUCGAAAGAAACUGGAUUUAGCCAGGAUGGCAUCACGAGUGAUGAAAUUGAUAUAAUGCCUCGUAGAGUUCCCUCCCCUAGGAGGCUCCACCUUGAGCGUCAGUUUACCCGGAGCGUGCUCCUAAGUUGGAAACCCGCUGAUUUGCCUGCAGACCAAGUGAAAGGUUAUGGUGUGUAUGCGAAUGGAGAGCUACGACUUAUGAUCAAAGGAAGCAGCAAAACAAAGGCGCUUCUGGAAGAUAUUGACCCCCAGGAGACAUACCGCCUCUCUGUACGCACCAUCACAACGCAGGGAGAAGAAUCAUCAGACCGCUCAGCUGUGGUGACAAUUGGCAAAGAUGCAAAUUUUGCUCCCAGUCACGUGCAUGUCACCUGCAUUUCUCCCACGUCAGCUAAGAUCGAGUGGUCGCCUGGCAACAGCUCAUUCAGCCACGAAAUCCUUCUAAAUGGGGACCUCCAUAGAACAGUUCGCCCUGGGACCUUCCAGCACACAAUCAGUAAUCUCGAACCGGAUCAGUGGUAUAAGGUUCACAUACGUGCAAAGGAUCCUAAGCGAGUGUCAGUUGACGAUCGUGAAGAGGAUAUCGAGGUUGAUCUGUUGACAGCUGAAGCAGAAUUUCGAACUGAACCAGGAGGUCUGCCAGAUCCACCUCUCGAUGUGGAAGCAACUCCAGGUCAAUCAAACACCCUUGAUGUUAACUGGAUUCCAGUGACAAUCACAGACAAAGGUGCCUCAAACGGCGCUCGCGUGACAGGAUACAAAGUUUACAUCAACGGCUUUCCAUGUACGGAAGUCACGUCACCCACAGCAGAUUGCGUGACAGCCGUGUCGUGGAUGGUCGAACGGGCGAGCAAGAAAAGUCACAGCGAUGUUCUUCGUGUUAUUGUUAGAACUCAGUCGUGUGAGGGCGAGUCAGCUGAUUCAAAUGAAGUUGUUAUGCCCUUAGGUAUGUUUAAUUUCAAGGCAAAUCAGGUUAUAACACCUAAAGAAACUGAGCAGGUGUUGCAGAGCAAUGAUAUGUUGUUAGAAAGAUCUUUCGGAUCUCAUGGAGGUCACGAAGGCUCAGAUAACUUGGCGAAUGGUGAGCUGGUCUCUGAGCCACCAAGGGAACGAGCCGAUAGCGUAAGACGCUUUAGUAUGGGCGAGAAUGGCCAGCCACAAGUAGUUUUAGUUGAAGACAUUGCCAAACACACCAAGGACGAUUCUGGUCUUCUUGCGCAGCCUCGAACGAAGGGAGAACCGGUCGUGUGGAAAUACGAGACCGGGGAUGAAUCGGAAACUGCCGAAAGUAUCACGAAAAGCGACGGAAGAAGUGGAUCCGAAGACGAAGAUGAUGAAGAAGUUGAGAUUUGUAUACCAGACGAUUCGGAGGAUAAAGAGCAAGCUGCUAAAACAGAGACUGUGGUGAAUGUGGAAGAGCAAGGCUAUCAACGGCUUGAAGAGAGUAACGAUGACAUCGAAGCUGAUACCGAAGUUCCCAAGGUCGAGCAACAACUUGCUGAGGAAGAACAAGCGCUUUCUGGCGAAGAAACAUCAGAAACGCAAAAGAAUCCUUCAAGAAUUAGUAAGGGGAGCGAUAUGUCUUCAGAGAGUGACCUCGACAUGGAAGAAUUAGGACAGUCAUUGGAAGAAGCGCAGAGUGUUCAACGAACAAGUCCCGAAGGAAAGGAGAGCGAGGAUAGAAUGCCUUAUAUUCGUCCACUAGAGUAUGACGAGAGUGACUUUGAAAGUGAAUCAAGCGAACAGGCCCCGCUUUCCAUAAUUCAAGAAGAAGACGAGGAAGACUUAUCGGAAGAGGUACAUUUUCCGCGCUCACACUCGGCCUCCGAGGGCUUCGAGAGCGAUGAUGAUGUCAUGGAUUUACUCGACGAUGAGCAAGUUUGGGAUCAAUCGUCGGGACGCGUCGACUUCGAAAGCGUUCGUAAAAUAUCGCAAACAGAAGGUUCUUCGGCGGUGAACACCAAUAAAACGUCAGAGGGCCAAGGCUUUGGAAAAUAUUUAGCAAAUAGUAGUGACCAGCUAAGAACAAACGCUAACCAUGGUUCACCGUACAGACUUGUGGAUAAUAUCAAGCUUUCAGAAAGUGAAGGAGAGCUGGUGGACAACGAUGGCAUCGACAUUACCUACAGUGACACUGAGGCAGACCGAGGGGAACUAAAAAGGAGUGCGACUCCGCUAGAUGGACAGUAUGGGGAAGGAAUGAUGCGGGAAGAACAACCGCUUCAUCACGCGUAUGACGAGGCUACGCCGGCGGCGGAGGGACAGGCGCCUUCUGAUCAAGGGUACGCGGGCGGAGGUGCCCCGGAGGAGCGAGUGCGUGUGUUCUUAGCUCUUUAUGAUUAUGACCCUGCUACUAUGUCACCGAAUCCCGAUGCUGAAGAUGAGGAGCUGACGUUCAAUGAAGGAGACUUGAUAAAGAUUUACGGCGACAAGGAUGAAGAUGGAUUUUACUGGGGCGAACUAAACGGGAGAGCGGGGUACAUUCCGUUCAAUAUGGUAUCAGAAGUUCAUCUCGACGAUGAAGAAUCCGGUAGUACUGUCACGACGCCUUCCAUGAGCAUUACUCAGGAAUCUGUCGCCCAGCUCCAGCCCCUUGAGGAAGCUCCCCGGGUAGAGGAGACUGAAGCUGGCCCUACCCCGUCCGACAACUUGCUUGAGGAGGUGAUCCUAGAAGAUGGCGAAGAAUUUGAGGACCCGAGAUCGAGUGACAAUUAUCAGCUGCCACCCAGGAGAAUGGUAGCUCUGUUUGAUUAUGAUCCACAGACUCUGUCGCCCAACCCUGAUAGUGAGGUUGAACUCAAGUUUAGAGUUGGUGAUAUAAUUUAUGUAUACGGCGAUAUGGACGAGGAUGGGUUCUUUACAGGUGAACUCCGUGGAAUUCGGGGUUUGGUACCUUCAAAUUUUCUUGAAAGUUUGUCUGAUCCCAUGGAGGAAUCUCAACUUGACACAAGUAACGACAGCCAUGAAUCUUCGCAUUUUACUGUUAUCUGAUGUGAAGAACGACCUUGGAACAGCGGCAGGGGAAAGCUCGAUUUAUGUUAGUACAAUAAACACCAUUCACGAUGUAGAGGAGUAGCUUUAACCAUAACGAGAACGACAACGAGCUUCAAUACGAAGAGUCUCCCAUGGAUUCCCCAGAGAAGUAUAACUCAAUCAAUGGUAGUCACAGCAUUCCAGAUGACACGCCCAAAAAGAAAAAGGGAAUCUUUUCCAAAGGAAAACAAAUGUUUAAAAAGAUCGCCAAAG
Molecule: unclassified non-coding RNA, 6633 nt
Filed under: Pocillopora damicornis (cauliflower coral)
Lineage: Eukaryota; Metazoa; Cnidaria; Anthozoa; Scleractinia; Pocilloporidae
Description: rIMS-binding protein 2-like, transcript variant X1
Source: RNAcentral